Molecule: small RNA, 176 nt
Filed under: Eutrema salsugineum
Lineage: Eukaryota; Viridiplantae; Streptophyta; Magnoliopsida; Brassicales; Brassicaceae
Description: Early nodulin 40
Rfam family: Early nodulin 40
Source: Rfam by way of RNAcentral
AUGCAGAAAAACUCAUUCAAGGAGGAUACAGAGGAACCUCAGUUUGAAACAUCUCUCCAACAGUUUGUUUAGCUUGGCCAUGAGAAGCGAGGAGACAAAAAAAAAAGCAUUGGGUCUUAUGGUAAUGGCAAAACGGCAAGUCAUAUAUCGGCAUCAGGCUCGGUUCUUCGAGUUCU